UGGGAUUUUCCAGGCAAGAAUACUGGAGUGGGUUGCCAUUUCCUUCUCCAGAGGAUCUUCUUGACCCAGGGAUCGAACCUGUGUCUCCUGUAUUGACAAAUGCAUUCUUCACCACUCAGCCACCUGGGAUGCCCAGAUAGUAGGAACCCUGGACACUAAAAAGGCAAGGUCUUGAUCCAUUUAAAUCCUAGAACUGAAGACAUACCUACUUGUAGUAAAGAAAUGGGAAGGGCAGGCUGGGGAGGAAGUUGAAAACUUCCCUGCUAAGCCCUGAGGGGAGGGCAAGGUACAGUGCAGUUGUGGAGGAGGGGAAGGCAGGGCAAGGCCCAGCCAGAAGGGGACUGGUCGCUCCUCUUGUGGGUGGGUCUGGAGCAGGCUCUCAGGGGUUGGGCUUCUGAGUGUCCGCAUCCCACUCCCAAGUCCCAUUUCCUUGGUCCCUGAUGCACACCAUGGUCAGGAAUAUACGCAAAGGCACACGCACUCAGUGUAUGUCCCAUCCCUUCAGUGAAUGUUUAUGUUGACAAACACCACAGAGCAUGCAGGGCCACCCUCACUGGGACCACACAGAGGACAGGCCAAGAAGCCCCACAUCACAGUGUCCUCCUGAUGCCUGGGCUGGGCUGGAGCUCACAAAAGGUACUUUGAUUUCUUCCGCAGACUCUCUGACAGAUGCUAGAACUGACUUGUCAUUUUUGUCUGAAAGAGCAAAGAAAGUAUUUGUCAGUGUGAAUGACCCUAGGGACAAGGGAGCCUCCAAACUCCUGGACUUUGAGUCACUAUGCAGAAACCAGGGGCUGGACCCUGCCUAGGAUCCUCAGUCCUUCCCAGCUGCAGUCUGCCAAGGUCAGCCGAGUGUGUGGGGCCAAGAGCUGCCAAUUAUUCAUUUAAUGUAUGCCACGCAGUGUGCCAGGCACUUCUAUGCAGUAUCUCAUUUAAUCCUCAUAACAGCCUUAAGAAUUAGAUGAGAAAACAAGCUUAGAGUGGCUUGCCAAGGUCACAUGGCUGAUUAGUGUUAGAGCCAGGGCCUUGUGCCCAUGUGCUUACAACCAGAAUUAAGUUGUCAGGGAUCUCUCUAGCUGUGGAAUGAGAGCUGGAUGUCUCCCACGGUGCCUUCCCUGGCCUGGUUCUGUUCCACAGUUCAGCAGCCACUGUGAAGGCAUCAUCUCAGUGCCAGGCACUUAGCUGAGUACUUGAGAGACAGCAACAGGACAUGGUCCUUUCCCCAGAGACAGACAUCUGUAACAGGACAGUUACAGUCUGUAACCAUGGAGACUGUGGACACCAAUACAUGCCAUGGAAACUUCAGAGAGUGGCAGAGGAGGAGGCUGGAGAGGUAGGUGGUGGGGGGUGAGUUUAAAGGAUCAUGACAAAGCUAGGAGGCUUAACGCAA
This is a long non-coding RNA of Bos taurus (domestic cattle), 1390 nucleotides long. NCBI's taxonomy places the organism in Eukaryota, Metazoa, Chordata, Mammalia, Artiodactyla, Bovidae. The record is from Ensembl.